RNAcentral lists this ribosomal RNA (443 nucleotides) under uncultured bacterium. RNAcentral describes it as "partial 16S ribosomal RNA". It matches the Rfam family "Bacterial small subunit ribosomal RNA", at positions 338 to 795 of the family's 1533-position model. The record is from RNAcentral.
CCUACGGGUGGCAGCAGUGGGGAAUAUUGGGCAAUGGAGGCAACUCUGACCCAGCAACGCCGCGUGAGUGAUGAAGGUCUUCGGAUUGUAAAACUCUUUAAGUGGGGACGAAGAAAGUGACUGUACCCACAGAAUAAGCCUCGGCUAACUACGUGCCAGCAGCCGCGGUAAUACGUAGGGGGCAAGCGUUAUCCGGAUUUACUGGGUGGAAAGGGAGCGUAGACGGUUAUGUAAGUCUGGAGUGAAAGCCCGGGGCCCAACCCCGGGACUGCUUUGGAAACUGUGUAACUGGAGUACAGGAGGGGCAGGCGGAAUUCCUGGUGUAGCGGUGAAAUGCGUAGAUAUCAGGAGGAACACCGGCGGCGAAGGCGGCCUGCUGGACUGAAACUGACGUUGAGGCUCGAAAGCGUGGGGAGCAAACAGGAUUAGAUACCCCGGUAGUC